GGGUUGUGAGGUUAAGCGACUAAGCGUACACGGUGGAUGCCCUGGCAGUCAGAGGCGAUGAAGGACGUGCUAAUCUGCGAUAAGCGUCGGUAAGGUGAUAUGAACCGUUAUAACCGGCGAUUUCCGAAUGGGGAAACCCAGUGUGUUUCGACACACUAUCAUUAACUGAAUCCAUAGGUUAAUGAGGCGAACCGGGGAACUGAAACAUCUAAGUACCCGAGGAAAAGAAAUCAACCGAGAUUCCCCCAGUAGCGGCGAGCGAACGGGGAGCAGCCCAGAGCCUGAAUCAGUGUGUGUGUUAGUGGAAGCGUCUGGAAAGGCGCGCGAUACAGGGUGACAGCCCCGUACACAAAAAUGCACAUGCUGUGAGCUCGAUGAGUAGGGCGGGACACGUGGUAUCCUGUCUGAAUAUGGGGGACCAUCCUCCAAGGCUAAAUACUCCUGACUGACCGAUAGUGAACCAGUACCGUGAGGGAAAGGCGAAAAGAACCCCGGCGAGGGGAGUGAAAAAGAACCUGAAACCGUGUACGUACAAGCAGUGGGAGCCUCUUUUAUGGGGUGACUGCGUACCUUUUGUAUAAUGGGUCAGCGACUUAUAUUCUGUAGCAAGGUUAACCGAAUAGGGGAGCCGAAGGGAAACCGAGUCUUAACUGGGCGUUAAGUUGCAGGGUAUAGACCCGAAACCCGGUGAUCUAGCCAUGGGCAGGUUGAAGGUUGGGUAACACUAACUGGAGGACCGAACCGACUAAUGUUGAAAAAUUAGCGGAUGACUUGUGGCUGGGGGUGAAAGGCCAAUCAAACCGGGAGAUAGCUGGUUCUCCCCGAAAGCUAUUUAGGUAGCGCCUCGUGAAUUCAUCUCCGGGGGUAGAGCACUGUUUCGGCAAGGGGGUCAUCCCGACUUACCAACCCGAUGCAAACUGCGAAUACCGGAGAAUGUUAUCACGGGAGACACACGGCGGGUGCUAACGUCCGUCGUGAAGAGGGAAACAACCCAGACCGCCAGCUAAGGUCCCAAAGUCAUGGUUAAGUGGGAAACGAUGUGGGAAGGCCCAGACAGCCAGGAUGUUGGCUUAGAAGCAGCCAUCAUUUAAAGAAAGCGUAAUAGCUCACUGGUCGAGUCGGCCUGCGCGGAAGAUGUAACGGGGCUAAACCAUGCACCGAAGCUGCGGCAGCGACGCUUAUGCGUUGUUGGGUAGGGGAGCGUUCUGUAAGCCUGUGAAGGUGUGCUGUGAGGCAUGCUGGAGGUAUCAGAAGUGCGAAUGCUGACAUAAGUAACGAUAAAGCGGGUGAAAAGCCCGCUCGCCGGAAGACCAAGGGUUCCUGUCCAACGUUAAUCGGGGCAGGGUGAGUCGACCCCUAAGGCGAGGCCGAAAGGCGUAGUCGAUGGGAAACAGGUUAAUAUUCCUGUACUUGGUGUUACUGCGAAGGGGGACGGAGAAGGCUAUGUUGGCCGGGCGACGGUUGUCCCGGUUUAAGCGUGUAGGCUGGUUUUCCAGGCAAAUCCGGAAAAUCAAGGCUGAGGCGUGAUGACGAGGCACUACGGUGCUGAAGCAACAAAUGCCCUGCUUCCAGGAAAAGCCUCUAAGCAUCAGGUAACAUCAAAUCGUACCCCAAACCGACACAGGUGGUCAGGUAGAGAAUACCAAGGCGCUUGAGAGAACUCGGGUGAAGGAACUAGGCAAAAUGGUGCCGUAACUUCGGGAGAAGGCACGCUGAUAUGUAGGUGAAGCGACUUGCUCGUGGAGCUGAAAUCAGUCGAAGAUACCAGCUGGCUGCAACUGUUUAUUAAAAACACAGCACUGUGCAAACACGAAAGUGGACGUAUACGGUGUGACGCCUGCCCGGUGCCGGAAGGUUAAUUGAUGGGGUUAGCGCAAGCGAAGCUCUUGAUCGAAGCCCCGGUAAACGGCGGCCGUAACUAUAACGGUCCUAAGGUAGCGAAAUUCCUUGUCGGGUAAGUUCCGACCUGCACGAAUGGCGUAAUGAUGGCCAGGCUGUCUCCACCCGAGACUCAGUGAAAUUGAACUCGCUGUGAAGAUGCAGUGUACCCGCGGCAAGACGGAAAGACCCCGUGAACCUUUACUAUAGCUUGACACUGAACAUUGAGCCUUGAUGUGUAGGAUAGGUGGGAGGCUUAGAAGUGUGGACGCCAGUCUGCAUGGAGCCGACCUUGAAAUACCACCCUUUAAUGUUUGAUGUUCUAACGUUGACCCGUAAUCCGGGUUGCGGACAGUGUCUGGUGGGUAGUUUGACUGGGGCGGUCUCCUCCUAAAGAGUAACGGAGGAGCACGAAGGUUGGCUAAUCCUGGUCGGACAUCAGGAGGUUAGUGCAAUGGCAUAAGCCAGCUUGACUGCGAGCGUGACGGCGCGAGCAGGUGCGAAAGCAGGUCAUAGUGAUCCGGUGGUUCUGAAUGGAAGGGCCAUCGCUCAACGGAUAAAAGGUACUCCGGGGAUAACAGGCUGAUACCGCCCAAGAGUUCAUAUCGACGGCGGUGUUUGGCACCUCGAUGUCGGCUCAUCACAUCCUGGGGCUGAAGUAGGUCCCAAGGGUAUGGCUGUUCGCCAUUUAAAGUGGUACGCGAGCUGGGUUUAGAACGUCGUGAGACAGUUCGGUCCCUAUCUGCCGUGGGCGCUGGAGAACUGAGGGGGGCUGCUCCUAGUACGAGAGGACCGGAGUGGACGCAUCACUGGUGUUCGGGUUGUCAUGCCAAUGGCACUGCCCGGUAGCUAAAUGCGGAAGAGAUAAGUGCUGAAAGCAUCUAAGCACGAAACUUGCCCCGAGAUGAGUUCUCCCUGACCCUUUAAGGGUCCUGAAGGAACGUUGAAGACGACGACGUUGAUAGGCCGGGUGUGUAAGCGCAGCGAUGCGUUGAGCUAACCGGUACUAAUGAACCGUGAGGCUUAACCUUACAACGCCGAAGCUGUU
Molecule: ribosomal RNA, 2926 nt
Filed under: Escherichia coli
Lineage: Bacteria; Pseudomonadati; Pseudomonadota; Gammaproteobacteria; Enterobacterales; Enterobacteriaceae
Description: 23S ribosomal RNA
Rfam family: Bacterial large subunit ribosomal RNA
Source: RNAcentral